GGAGAGGUGCGAGAGCGGUUGAAUCGGACGGUCUCGAAAAUCGUUGUACCCUAACGGGUACCGUGGGUUCGAAUCCCACCCUCUCCGCCA
RNAcentral lists this transfer RNA (90 nucleotides) under Blastocatellia bacterium. RNAcentral describes it as "tRNA-Ser". It matches the Rfam family "tRNA". From Rfam's summary of the family: Transfer RNA (tRNA) molecules are approximately 80 nucleotides in length. Lineage: Bacteria; Pseudomonadati; Acidobacteriota; Blastocatellia. The record is from RNAcentral.